Molecule: ribosomal RNA, 253 nt
Filed under: uncultured bacterium
Lineage: Bacteria
Description: partial 16S ribosomal RNA
Rfam family: Bacterial small subunit ribosomal RNA
Source: RNAcentral
UACGGAGGGUGCAAGCGUUAUCCGGAUUCACUGGGUUUAAAGGGUGCGUAGGUGGGCUGGUAAGUCAGUGGUGAAAUCUCCAGGCUUAACUUGGAAACUGCCAUUGAUACUAUUAGUCUUGAAUACCGUGGAGGUCAGCGGAAUAUGUCAUGUGGCGGUGAAAUGCUUAGAUACGACAUAGAACACCAAUUGCGAAGGCAGCUGGCUACACGAAUAUUGACACUGAGGCACGAAAGCGUGGGGAUCAAACAGG